CCUACGGGUGGCAGCAGUGAGGAAUAUUGGUCAAUGGGCGGAAGCCUGAACCAGCCAAGUCGCGUGAGGGAAUAAGGCCCUACGGGUCGUAAACCUCUUUUGCCGGGGAGCAAGGGCGGGGACGUGUCCCGGCCCGGAGAGUACCCGGAGACAAAGCAUCGGCUAACUCCGUGCCAGCAGCCGCGGUACUACGGAGGAUGCGAGCGUUAUCCGGAUUUCUUGGGUUUAAGGGGUGCGUAGGCGGGCUUUUAAGUCAGCGGUAAAAAGUCGGGGCUCAACCCCGUCGUGCCGUUGAAACUGGUGGUCUUGAGUGGGCGAGAAGAAUGCGGAAUGCGUGGUGUAGCGGUGAAAUGCAUAGAUAUCACGCAGAACUCCGAUUGCGAAGGCAGCAUACCGGCGCCCUACUGACGCUGAGGCACGAAAGCGUGGGGAGCGAACAGGAUUAGAUACCCGAGUAGUC
Molecule: ribosomal RNA, 460 nt
Filed under: uncultured bacterium
Lineage: Bacteria
Description: partial 16S ribosomal RNA
Rfam family: Bacterial small subunit ribosomal RNA
Source: RNAcentral